Long non-coding RNA from Pseudophryne corroboree (corroboree frog), 812 nucleotides. RefSeq lists it as uncharacterized. The transcript is spliced from 5 exons. NCBI's taxonomy places the organism in Eukaryota, Metazoa, Chordata, Amphibia, Anura, Myobatrachidae. The record is from RefSeq and is a predicted model, not a curated record.
CACUGGCUCACUGCUGAUCACUAUUUGGAAGGUAUCAUAUCCAUAGGAUACCAUAAGGACUCUGUAUAGAUUUCUGCAUUUUUCAACUGUAUUGUGACUUCUGAGGUCCUCCAUGUGUGCAUGAAGUUGCCGAUUCCUCUUUUUUUCAUACGAAUGCUUCCCUUUUGAGCUCUUCGUAAUCUGAGUUACCAGAUUCACAAGGCUGACUUUAUGCCCUUAUUUCACGCCUCAUUGAUGUUUGGAAGCCCACGUAUGAACCUAUUCGGCCAAUGAUCUAGGCCUAUCACUCUUUUGGAUAGACAUUAUUAUCUAAGACGCACCCCUGAUGAAGUCUAGUUCCUAGACGAAACGCGUUGGGUUACUGUAUUUCUUGUUGAUGUUAUCUCCGAAUAUUUAAUGAGGAAGAAUAAGGAUACAACAGAAAGGUUGCCUUCUUUCCUCCAUAUCCCAUUGAUGGAUUUCUGUAGGAGAAACUACAUCAUAAUGUACAUGUAAUAAUGAUGGAUAUACUUCAUGUUUCUGUAUAAUUGUUUUAAUAAUUUUUUAUGAAAAGUACAGUCCGUUAUGUGUUUUAAAAACCUGUAUAAAUAUUGAUUGCAAAUCCUGUUAAGCAAUAGUCUUUGUAUAAGGGUAUUUGUAAACCCCUGGGGCGCCAUUUUUCCUCUUUUUCUAUACUCUAUUUUCUUUGCUCAGUUCCUCCUAACAAGGAACUCAGAGGAACCAGGCAGCCCAUCCUAGAGAUAGCUAUACCUAAUCGCCUAUUUUGAAACCAAUUAGCGCAGGAGGAGAGUGUUUGUGGAGUAUAUAUAUAU